UGAACGCUAGCUACAGGCUUAACACAUGCAAGUCGAGGGGCAUCAGGAAGAAAGCUUGCUUUCUUUGCUGGCGACCGGCGCACGGGUGAGUAACACGUAUCCAACCUGCCCUUUACUCGGGGAUAGCCUUUCGAAAGAAAGAUUAAUACCCGAUAGCAUAAUGAUUCCGCAUGGUUUCAUUAUUAAAGGAUUCCGGUAAAGGAUGGGGAUGCGUUCCAUUAGGUUGUUGGUGAGGUAACGGCCCACCAAGCCUUCGAUGGAUAGGGGUUCUGAGAGGAAGGUCCCCCACAUUGGAACUGAGACACGGUCCAAACUCCUACGGGAGGCAGCAGUGAGGAAUAUUGGUCAAUGGGCGCUAGCCUGAACCAGCCAAGUAGCGUGAAGGAUGAAGGCUCUAUGGGUCGUAAACUUCUUUUAUAUAAGAAUAAAGUGCAGUAUGUAUACUGUUUUGUAUGUAUUAUAUGAAUAAGGAUCGGCUAACUCCGUGCCAGCAGCCGCGGUAAUACGGAGGAUCCGAGCGUUAUCCGGAUUUAUUGGGUUUAAAGGGAGCGUAGGUGGACUGGUAAGUCAGUUGUGAAAGUUUGCGGCUCAACCGUAAAAUUGCAGUUGAUACUGUCAGUCUUGAGUACAGUAGAGGUGGGCGGAAUUCGUGGUGUAGCGGUGAAAUGCUUAGAUAUCACGAAGAACUCCGAUUGCGAAGGCAGCUCACUGGACUGCAACUGACACUGAUGCUCGAAAGUGUGGGUAUCAGACAGGAUUAGAUACCCUGGUAGUCCACACAGUAAACGAUGAAUACUCGCUGUUUGCGAUAUACAGUAAGCGGCCAAGCGAAAGCAUUAAGUAUUCCACCUGGGGAGUACGCCGGCAACGGUGAAACUCAAAGGAAUUGACGGGGGCCCGCACAAGCGGAGGAACAUGUGGUUUAAUUCGAUGAUACGCGAGGAACCUUACCCGGGCUUAAAUUGCAGUGGAAUGAUGUGGAAACAUGUCAGUGAGCAAUCACCGCUGUGAAGGUGCUGCAUGGUUGUCGUCAGCUCGUGCCGUGAGGUGUCGGCUUAAGUGCCAUAACGAGCGCAACCCUUAUCUUUAGUUACUAACAGGUUAUGCUGAGGACUCUAGAGAGACUGCCGUCGUAAGAUGUGAGGAAGGUGGGGAUGACGUCAAAUCAGCACGGCCCUUACGUCCGGGGCUACACACGUGUUACAAUGGGGGGUACAGAAGGCAGCUAGCGGGUGACCGUAUGCUAAUCCCAAAAUCCUCUCUCAGUUCGGAUCGAAGUCUGCAACCCGACUUCGUGAAGCUGGAUUCGCUAGUAAUCGCGCAUCAGCCACGGCGCGGUGAAUACGUUCCCGGGCCUUGUACACACCGCCCGUCAAGCCAUGGGAGCCGGGGGUACCUGAAGUACGUAACCGCAAGGAUCGUCCUAGGGUAAAACUGGUGAC
Molecule: ribosomal RNA, 1442 nt
Filed under: uncultured organism
Description: 16S ribosomal RNA
Rfam family: Bacterial small subunit ribosomal RNA
Source: RNAcentral